CCUACGUGUGGCAGCAGUGAGGAAUAUUGGUCAAUGGACGAGAGUCUGAACCAGCCAAGUAGCGUGAAGGAUGACUGCCCUAUGGGUUGUAAACUUCUUUUAUAUGGGAAUAAAACAGGGUAUGCAUACCCUCCUGUAUGUACCAUAUGAAUAAGGAUCGGCUAACUCCGUUCCAGCAGCCGCGGUAAUACGGAGGAUCCGAGCGUUAUCCGGAUGUAUUGGGUUUAAAGGGAGCGUAGGUGGAUUGUUAAGUCAGUUGUGAAAGUUUGCGGCUCAACCGUAAAAUUGCAGUUGAAACUGGCAGUCUUGAGUACAGUAGAGGUGGGCGGAAUGCGUGGUGUAGCGGUGAAAUGCUUAGAUAUCACGAAGAACUCCGAUUGCGAAGGCAGCUCACUGGACUGCAACUGACACUGAUGCUCGAAAGUGUGGGUAUCAAACAGGAUUAGAUACCCGAGUAGUC
This 460-nucleotide ribosomal RNA is filed under the name uncultured bacterium. RNAcentral describes it as "partial 16S ribosomal RNA". It matches the Rfam family "Bacterial small subunit ribosomal RNA", at positions 338 to 795 of the family's 1533-position model. The record is from RNAcentral.